GAUGAACGCUAGCGGCAGGCCUAACACAUGCAAGUCGAGGGGCAGCACAGAAACAGCAAUGUUUUGGUGGCGACCGGCGGACGGGUGCGUAACGCGUUUGCAACCUACCUUUAACAGGGGGAUAACGGAGAGAAAUUUCCACUAAUACCCCAUAACAUCGAUCAAGGCAUCUUGAUUGGUUGAAAACUCCGGUGGUUAAAGAGGGGCAUGCGUUGUAUUAGGUAGUUGGUGGGGUAAUGGCUCACCAAGCCUACGAUGCAUAGGGGGACUCAGGUUAGCCCCCCACACGGGUACUGAGACACGGACCAGACUCCUACGGGAGGCAGCAGUGAGGAAUAUUGGUCAAUGGGGGCAACCCUGAACCAGCCAUGCCGCGUGCAGGAAGACGGCUCUAUGAGUUGUAAACUGCUUUUAAACAGGGAUAAAGCACAGUAUGUAUACUGUGUUGAAGGUACUGUAAGAAUAAGGAUCGGCUAACUCCGUGCCAGCCGCCGCCGUAA
RNAcentral lists this ribosomal RNA (500 nucleotides) under uncultured bacterium. RNAcentral's name for it is "partial 16S ribosomal RNA". It matches the Rfam family "Bacterial small subunit ribosomal RNA", at positions 28 to 523 of the family's 1533-position model. The record is from RNAcentral.